CGCGGGGCAACCUGGCGGCGUAGCGGCGAACGGGUGAGUAAUGCAUCGGAACGUACCCAUUUGUGGGGGAUAACUAUCCGAAAGGAUAGCUAAUACCGCAUAAGUCCUGAGGGAGAAAGCAGGGGAUCGCAAGACCUUGCGCGAAUGGAGCGGCCGAUGCCGGAUUAGCUAGUUGGUAGGGUAAAGGCCUACCAAGGCGACGAUCCGUAGCGGGUCUGAGAGGAUGAUCCGCCACACUGGAACUGAGACACGGUCCAGACUCCUACGGGAGGCAGCAGUGGGGAAUUUUGGACAAUGGGCGCAAGCCUGAUCCAGCCAUUCCGCGUGAGUGAAGAAGGCCUUCGGGUUGUAAAGCUCUUUCGGCAGGAACGAAACGGUGGGGGCUAAUACCUCCUGCUAAUGACGGUACCUGAAGAAGAAGCACCGGCUAACUACGUGCCAGCAGCCGCGGUAAUACGUAGGGUGCGAGCGUUAAUCGGAAUACUGGGCGUAAAGCGUGCGCAGGCGGUUAUGUAAGACAGAUGUG
This 526-nucleotide ribosomal RNA is filed under the name uncultured beta proteobacterium. RNAcentral's name for it is "bacterial SSU rRNA". It matches the Rfam family "Bacterial small subunit ribosomal RNA", at positions 72 to 596 of the family's 1533-position model. Lineage: Bacteria; Pseudomonadati; Pseudomonadota; Betaproteobacteria. The record is from RNAcentral.